RNAcentral lists this ribosomal RNA (197 nucleotides) under uncultured bacterium. RNAcentral describes it as "partial 16S ribosomal RNA". It matches the Rfam family "Bacterial small subunit ribosomal RNA", at positions 328 to 539 of the family's 1533-position model. The record is from RNAcentral.
ACGCUCGACACCUACGGGGGCAGCAGUGGGGAAUAUUGCACAAUGGGGGAAACCCUGAUGCAGCGACGCCGCGUGAGCGAAGAAGUAUCUCGGUAUGUAAAGCUCUAUCAGCAGGGAAGAAGAUGACGGUACCUGACUAAGAAGCACCGGCUAAAUACGUGCUAGCAGCCGCGGUAAUCUGAGCGGGCUGGCAAGGC